Long non-coding RNA from Archocentrus centrarchus (flier cichlid), 1182 nucleotides. RefSeq lists it as uncharacterized. The record is from RefSeq and is a predicted model, not a curated record. Lineage: Eukaryota; Metazoa; Chordata; Actinopteri; Cichliformes; Cichlidae. The transcript is spliced from 4 exons.
UCCACAGCCACGAUGACUCCGUGUCUGAACUUGAAGGCCAGGGUGGUGGUCCCGUGGUCCAUUUCAAUGCGCACGCCUCCAUCACUGCUGCAGGACUCCAGAAACCCUGAAGGCUGCAAAGAUGUCGAUGUUGCUGCCUGAGCCGAGGUCGCUCAUGAUGCCUGCGUGGAUCGCCGCUCGCACCAGCUCCUUCGCCGGCUCCAGCUGAGAGGACAGAAAUCAGACGGACAUCAAGAACACAGAAGCACUAAUCUGCUGUAGCAGCUCCCAGUUUAUAUCCACGUCCUCUAUUUGUUAGCAAAAAACAUUUAACCAGAAGUUUGUAUAAUGGGGAGAUUUACUUGAUUUGUGUACCUCUAAGUCAGGUUUGAAGCCGUCCUCCAAAAUCCCCAGAGCAGCCAGAUCUCCAGAUCCUGCAGGAGGACAGAGUAAAGUCAGAUAAACGGACCUGAUGAAGUCUGAGAGAAUCAAAUGCAGCAGAAACAUCACGUACCCAUUGACAGUAUGUUCACGGCCAUGACGACACGAGGGUUCCUCCCACUGUUCAGAGAGAAGAUGGUGAGGUUGGAGUAGAGGAGGUCAGUGGUCUUCUCUGUAUCUGCUGCUGUACCUGCUCCACAGCAGCUGGACACACAGAGGGAGGAGCAGGUGAGACAAACAGAACAUUUAAAUUCACACAUUAAAGACAGAGAAAAGCAGAGACAUUACUCCUCUGAAUAAAAACAGACUGAUUUCUCUCAGUAUCCCACAGUGCACUGCUUCUCCCAUACUACUGUCAUCAGUCACAUGCUCAUGUGUUUGCAUGGCCUGUGGAUUAUUUAGUUAUCAGUCCACUGAAAAGCAUCUGCAUCCAUACUGUAAAGGUAUUUCACCUCUAUGAAACUUACUACAUAUUUGGAGCGAUGUAAUGGAUCUUGGCACACAUCUUGUCGGCCACCACUUCACCGGAGGUGGCUCUGGUAUCGGCUCCCAGCACCACCCCAUCCUGCAGGAACACGUGAACUGGGACAUUAGCAACACUCAGGUUAUUUUUAUUGGUCAGAAAAGCUUUCAGAGAAAGCUCCAUCCUUAUUCGGCCUUUGGGCAAGGCAUUAAAAUCAGAGCGUGUCCAGUGGAGCUGCAGAGAGACCCACAGUCUGUGAUAGCAAAUGAAAGUGGGAAUGUAAAUGAAUGAUAAUUCCU